CUCCUUAACCGCACGGCACCCAACACCGACAGGGAAUCCAACAGGAAAACCCCAUGGCAAAACUCCAAAAAUCCAACUUCUAAAAUCAUACAUAAAUCCCACUAUUAAAUCCAAAUCCCACAAAAAUCCAAUCAAAAUCCUCAACCACUAAAAAACAAAUUCAUCACCUACGUACCUCAAGUAAUAAGUGAGAAAACACUACCAAAUUCUCCUCUACUGC
This 220-nucleotide long non-coding RNA is filed under the name Ananas comosus (pineapple). RNAcentral's name for it is "long non-coding RNA (ACOM_LNC010085)". Lineage: Eukaryota; Viridiplantae; Streptophyta; Magnoliopsida; Poales; Bromeliaceae. The record is from RNAcentral.